CUCGGGAGCAGCCACAGGACUGGCAGCAGCGCCAUGUCCGGCCAGGAGGUGGGGGACGCCACGCCCUCUUAACCUGGGGGGUGCCCAUUCCCCGCCCGUCACGGCCCCUGGGCAGUUUCAGCUGCAGCCGCCUGGGCCCCCGGCGCCCCCGGAGCUGGAGAGCUCGCCCAGACCCUCCCCGGUCUCAGAAGCGCCGGGCGGACGGCUUUUCCAAAUUCCGCCGUCAGGCCGCGGACAGACAACGCGAAGCCGCGGGACAGGACGUGACGUGUGACACCGAGGUCCCCGCUGCGGGAUUUUGUGGAUUAAACUCUCGUGUGUGCUCGCAGCUGCGUGCCGCUGGGUCCGGUGUGACUUCCUUCCGUCCGGCCACGGCCUCUGAGCCUGUGACCUGACGGUGGCUCAGCCAGCCGGCCCCUGGCUGAUGUAACAGGCAAUUGUCAGAAAUGAAACGAUGGUUACUCUUUGUCGU
Molecule: long non-coding RNA, 472 nt
Organism: Myotis davidii
Lineage: Eukaryota; Metazoa; Chordata; Mammalia; Chiroptera; Vespertilionidae
Exons: 2
Source: RefSeq, a predicted model, not a curated record